CCCUUAGAUGUCCUGGGCCGCACACGCGCUACACUGAAGGAGGCAGCGUGUACUCCUGGAUCGAAAGAUUUGGGUAACCCGCGAAUCUCCUUCGUGCUAGGGAUUGAGGUUUGCAAUUAUCCUUCAUGAACGAGGAAUUCCCAGUAAGUGCAAGUCAUAAGCUUGCGCUGACUACGUCCCUGCCCUUUGUACACACCGCCCGUCGCUACUACCGAUUGAAUGGUCCGGUGAAAAUUUCGGAUACCGGCAUUGCUGGCGGUUCGCCGCCGGCGACGCUGGUAGAAGAUCUUUAAACCUUAUCAUUUAGAGGAAGGAGAANUCGUAACA
RNAcentral lists this ribosomal RNA (327 nucleotides) under uncultured eukaryote. RNAcentral describes it as "partial 18S ribosomal RNA". It matches the Rfam family "Eukaryotic small subunit ribosomal RNA", at positions 1470 to 1796 of the family's 1831-position model. The record is from RNAcentral.